This 71-nucleotide transfer RNA is filed under the name Camelus bactrianus (Bactrian camel). It matches the Rfam family "tRNA". Rfam says of the family: Transfer RNA (tRNA) molecules are approximately 80 nucleotides in length. RNAcentral also lists the same sequence under 2 other names. The record is from Rfam by way of RNAcentral. Lineage: Eukaryota; Metazoa; Chordata; Mammalia; Artiodactyla; Camelidae.
GAGGGUAUAGCUCCAUGGUAGAGUGCAUGCUUAGCAUGCACAAGGUCCUGGGUUCAAUCCCCAGUACCUCA